RNAcentral lists this long non-coding RNA (824 nucleotides) under Bos taurus (domestic cattle). Its description in RNAcentral is "long non-coding RNA NONBTAT024585". Lineage: Eukaryota; Metazoa; Chordata; Mammalia; Artiodactyla; Bovidae. The record is from RNAcentral.
UUUAACUUAAGUGGGUUCAUGUCUGUUAACUUCCAGUAGAGGGCACGCUUUUCCCAUGAUAGAACUAGUGGAGGAUCUGUUUUAACAUUCGUUUAAAAGCAACUUUGGAACACCUCUUAAAAUUAAUUCUCUUUAAAACUUGUAUUUAGUAUUUAUUGGCAUCAGUUAUGAUUGACUUAUGCUCAAUAACUUUUGUCAAGGAUUUUUUCACAAGUCUUUUUUUACCUUUUUAUUUGUGGCACGUACUGAGAAAAUAUUACUUUACAAGUAAUGGUAAUAGAAGUUUAUAAUCAUCGAAAGCAAAUUGUCAUGUAGUUAAAAGUCUACUAAGUUAAAUUUUGCCUUUUAGCAUGUGCACAGAGUCUUAGUAGACUUCUCUUUCUGUGGAUGUAUUGUCCCUAUUCAAACUAAUCUCUUUAAAAAUUAAAACAAAAUGGGGGCUUUUCAGCUUUCCCAGGCCAGUGGUAUUAUUAUUGCAUCACUUUUUCUAGAUUUAUAAUUGAAGAAUAAUGUUUGGUUCCUUAGAAGUCACCUGGGUUAUUUCAUAUCUUUGGUUUUUUCUUCAAAAUAUCCCUUUCUGUCCUUGAUCAUGACUGUAAACCAGCCAGCUUUUUCAUUAUCUCCCACCUGUAAGUAGUCUUGCUUCUCAGCUCCAUAUAUUUCAUGCACUGUUGCCAGUUAAUUUUCCUGAAAUAUUCCUUUAAUAAUUUCUGAUUUUCAUCUGUUACAUUAAUUGGGCUCUACGAUCUAGUUCAUUUUGGGUAUUGUAGUUCUGACACUGUUGUCUCUAGCAGAGGGAGUUUUAUCUAAGAGCAGAUCAUCUC